This 409-nucleotide long non-coding RNA is filed under the name Physcomitrium patens. Its description in RNAcentral is "long non-coding RNA (PPAT_LNC005489)". The record is from RNAcentral. Lineage: Eukaryota; Viridiplantae; Streptophyta; Bryopsida; Funariales; Funariaceae.
GCUAAUCUUCAAUACCGCUUUAUACUCACGAUCUUGUAUCCACUGACUGUCUUGUUAGAUUAAUCCAAUAAAUUUCAUUCACUCCGCAUACUCAAUCCUAUAGACACCCUUUUAAUUUUUCAUAACAGACGUAACUCGAUUUCACAAAACAGUCAAGAGUAAUCAAACCCACUUCAUUAAAAAUCCCGAUUCACCAUUACAACACUUACUUCAGCAACGAUUACCUCAGUCUUUCCAAAACCCUAUGAAGAAAAAAAAACCCAAUUCUCUGUCUUCUUUUCCCGCCCGAAGCAUGAAGCUAGCUCUCUCGAUCCUUCAAAACCCCCCCAAAAAACUUCUUCUCCCCCCCUCUCAUUUCUUAACCUUAAUUCUGAAUUUCUUCAAUCCUCCAUCUUGGAUCAGGAAAUUG